RNAcentral lists this long non-coding RNA (242 nucleotides) under Elaeis guineensis (African oil palm). RNAcentral describes it as "long non-coding RNA (EGUI_LNC055781)". Lineage: Eukaryota; Viridiplantae; Streptophyta; Magnoliopsida; Arecales; Arecaceae. The record is from RNAcentral.
GUCUCCAUGGCUUCACGGGCAGUUAUCAUGGAAAGAAAGGUCAGUUUUUAGUUUUUGGAUGAAGAAAAUUUUCUGAUUGGGUCUUAGAUACGAUAGCAAGGAUGAGAAAAGAUAUGCUCUCUUCAGGUACCUACUUACCCAAAUUAGGUUAGGAAAUUUUUUGAAAAUCUGAAGUUAGAUAUAGAUUUCAUCUGGUCCGUUGUUAAAGGGAUAGAGAUUGUACUUGAUCAGAGGAAGUUAGG